GACGAACGCUGGCGGCGUGCUUAACACAUGCAAGUCGAACGGAAAGGCCCCUUUGGGGGUACUCGAGUGGCGAACGGGUGAGUAACACGUGAGUAACCUGCCCUUGACUUCGGGAUAACUUCAGGAAAAUGGGGCUAAUACCGGAUAGGAAUCCUUGCUGCAUGUGGGGGUUGGAAAGCUUGGGCGGUUUUGGAUGGACUCGCGGCUUAUCCGCUGGUUGGUGGGGUAGUGGCUUACCAAGGCUUUGACGGGUAGCCGGCCUGAGAGGGCGACCGACCACAUGGGGACUGGGAUACGGCCCAGACUCCUACGGGAGGCAGCAGGGGGGAAUAGUGCACAAUGGGCGAAAGCCGGAUGCAGCAACGCCGCGUGCGGGAUGACUGCCUUCGGGUUGAAAGCCGCAUUCAGCAGGGGCGAAGCUUGUGGUGACGGUACCUGCAGAAGAAGCACCGGCUAACUACGUG
Molecule: ribosomal RNA, 464 nt
Filed under: uncultured bacterium
Lineage: Bacteria
Description: partial 16S ribosomal RNA
Rfam family: Bacterial small subunit ribosomal RNA
Source: RNAcentral